AUCCCCCUGCGCGGUGCGACAGCGGCACUAUAUUUAACCUACAAAGUGAUAAAACGGGAUGGCGGACUUCAGCCCCCGGGUGCAGACCUCCCGUCCCGGGACGGACGUUGGGAGCGCCUAAAAGGGCUGGGAGCCAACCCACCUGCAAUAGCGGGUUAUUAUCAGUUCGCAUCGGCCAGCGCGGGGGGAUU
Molecule: non-coding RNA, 191 nt
Filed under: Candidatus Ventrousia excrementavium
Lineage: Bacteria; Bacillati; Bacillota; Clostridia; Eubacteriales; Clostridiaceae
Description: 6S RNA
Rfam family: 6S / SsrS RNA
About the family: E. coli 6S RNA was the first non coding RNA to be sequenced, but its function was unknown until recently. It consists of 184 nucleotides that fold into an extended hairpin structure with a large single-stranded internal bulge. The 6S RNA specifically associates with RNA polymerase holoenzyme containing the sigma70 specificity factor.
Source: RNAcentral